UCAUGGGAAAGAGGCAAGCCCAUGAAGUCCUAGCAACAAGUCUCCUGCCUCUAAAAUUACGCUCCACAAGACAAACUCAUCCACUCCUCCGUCUUCUCAUCCCCAAGGCCUAAGACAUCUCUGACCUUAUCUCCAAAUACAGUCACCUUCCAAGAUACUGAGGAUUAAGACAUCAACAUAUGGAUUUAAGGGGACACAAUUCAACCCCUUGCAAAGAGCUACAGAUAUCUUUAUUCUACUACUCAUAAAAUGUCUUAGGAAUACAAUAGCCAUUAGAACAUUAACUGGUUGCAAAAGGUUGAAUUGCUGAAGAAACCAGCUGUUUUUCAGAAAGAGAAAAAGCUUUCAUGCAGCAUUCUUCAUUUAGAAGUGGAAUCUCCCUCUGUCAACCAGGCUGGAGUGCAUUGGCUUGAUGUCAGAUCUUGGAUCACCGCAGCCUCCGUCUCCUGGGUUCAAGUGAUUCUCCCGCCUCAGCCUCUCGAGCAGCUGGGACUACAGGAAGGCACCACCAUGCCUGGCUAAUUAUAAGUCUUUUGACUCACUCUUGUUCGUCCUACUUUCUUUUGCUUUUAUAUUCCAGUCAAACCAAAUUUCUCAUGGCUUUACGCAACUUUGACUUUAUAAGUUCUGCCCUACCAGCCUCUUGGACUUACCUUCUCUAUUUUUAACUGCCUAGUUCUUAUUAAAGACUGAAGUAAAGCACCUGCUUUCUGUGAAGCAUUUCUUCCAACUCCCUCACACAACAUGAAUUGCUCUCUGCUUUGUCUUCUAACAGUCUUUCAGUGCUAC
Molecule: long non-coding RNA, 789 nt
Filed under: Homo sapiens (human)
Lineage: Eukaryota; Metazoa; Chordata; Mammalia; Primates; Hominidae
Description: HSALNT0308718
Source: RNAcentral